This 535-nucleotide long non-coding RNA is filed under the name Homo sapiens (human). RNAcentral's name for it is "PSMD3 antisense RNA 1". Lineage: Eukaryota; Metazoa; Chordata; Mammalia; Primates; Hominidae. The record is from RNAcentral.
GAAUGAGGCAAGACCCUUCGAGGCGAUUGGCUCACCUGACCUUCACCUCCUCGUGCACGACCCUGACAGUAGGGUCCCCAAGGGCUUUGGAACUGCGGGAUUGGGACACGUGACUUCCCUGGUCAUUCACCUUGAAGUGGACACGGGCUGGGAUGGAGUCUUGCUCUGUCGCCCAGGCUGGAGUGCAGUGGCGCGAUCUCGGCUCACUGCAAACUCUGCCUCUCGGGUUCACGCCAUUCUCCUGCCUCAGCCUCCCGAGUAGCUGGAACUACAGAGAGGGCAUUUCAUCAUGUUGCCCAGGCUGAUCUCAAACUCCUGGGCUUGUGUCCGAAACUGGUGAGUGCUUGGUCUCACUGACUUCAAGAAGGAAGCCGCGGACCCUCGCAGUGAGUGUUACAGCUCUUAAGGUGGUGCAUCUGGAGUUUGUUCCUUCUGAUGUUCAGAUGUGUUCGCAGUUUCUUCCUUCUGGUGGGUUCGUGGUCUCGCUGGCUGAGGAGUGAAGCUGCAGACCUUCGCGGUGAGUGUUAUAGCUCUU